AUCCUUCGGGGUCUAGUGGCGAACGGGUGAGUAACACGUGAGCAACCUGCCCUUGGCUCUGGGAUAGCCUCCGGAAACGGGGAUUAAUACCGGACAUGACCUGCUCCGGCAUCGGAGCGGGUGGAAAGUUUUUCGGCCAGGGAGGGGCUCGCGGCCUAUCAGCUUGUUGGGGGGGUAACGGCCCACCAAGGCGACGACGGGUAGCCGGCCUGAGAGGGCGACCGGCCACACUGGGACUGAGACACGGCCCAGACUCCUACGGGAGGCAGCAGUGGG
This 276-nucleotide ribosomal RNA is filed under the name uncultured Actinomycetales bacterium. RNAcentral describes it as "partial 16S ribosomal RNA". It matches the Rfam family "Bacterial small subunit ribosomal RNA", at positions 75 to 358 of the family's 1533-position model. The record is from RNAcentral. Lineage: Bacteria; Bacillati; Actinomycetota; Actinomycetes; Actinomycetales.